UCCCCUGCGGGUCCCCGCGCCCCGGCCUCGCAGGCUCCUGGGGUCUCGCCCCGCCCUGCCCAGCCCUGGCGGCGGCCGGCCCCACCAGCCCCUCCUCCGGGCCUCCUCCUCCUCCGGUGUGUUCCCGGGAGCUGGCUGCCGGGCCCUGCUGCGCUUCCCUCCCACUCCCCGCCCGCCCGCAGACCGGCUGGGCCCCCUCAGUCAGCCCCAGGCUGGGCUCUGCUUAUUAGGGAGCCCCACUGCUUACAGACCAGAAGGUAACCUGAUCCUUUCCUGGCCAACCCAGGAAACACAUGGAUUUCUGCAGCCCGGGCUGCCCACUUCAAGGUCAGGCCCCGCUGCUCCCUACAGCCUGGCCCCUCCGGGCUCAAGGGGAAGAUGAAGGAGGAGCCUGCCAGGGAGUUUCAGACUGAGGGUCCCGAGUGUCCUCCAAGCAGAGCCCACACAGCCUCACCCACUGGUCUCCACAGAGUGGAGACAGGACGUGGCCUAAGAGUAAUUUGCCAUCCAUACACCUGGUCACUUGGGGAACAAGAAUGCUGCCAACCCCAGGCAGAGCCCUGGAAGUCCCAGGCAAAUCCUGCCCCGGCCUUCUCAGACCCCUUUCUGUUCCACAUCCUACUGCAGAGGGGUUAAGACUGGGCCUCAAGUUCUGGGAUUGUUUCCUGCGUGAAUUUCUUUCUACCUCCUGCACAGACAGCUUCCUUGGGCCCGGAGGCCUCCCUGAAUGGCUUCCCUAACUGGGAAGCAGGGGCGCUGGUGAAGUUGACUAGUCUCUCAGAGAAUGUUGCUUUUCUAUCAUCUGUCUGGGGACAUCCUCAACAUGACAACAUGAUUUCCAGAAAGAGCUUACCAGGCAUCCUGAGUUGGUACCUAAGCAGAAGUAGAAAUCAACUUAACAGAGGCAGGUGGAUCUCUGUGAGUUCAAGGCCAGCCUGGUCUACAUAGUAAUUUUCGAAGGAACAUAAAGCCAUUUACAGCCAAAAAUGUUGCAGCGCACACAUCACUAUGAGUGAGAGCCAAGGAAAUGCCAGGCUGCACAAUCACAUCUGGAAACUGACAGUGGCAUUAUUGGGGACAAAAUAAUGGCGUUUUGAAUUUGAAGAAAUUAAAAAAAAAAAAACAUACAAGAGACUGGAAAUAUGUACAGAUG
Long non-coding RNA from Nannospalax galili (Upper Galilee mountains blind mole rat), 1153 nucleotides. RefSeq lists it as uncharacterized. The transcript has 2 exons. Lineage: Eukaryota; Metazoa; Chordata; Mammalia; Rodentia; Spalacidae. The record is from RefSeq and is a predicted model, not a curated record.